GCGGGUAUAGUAUAGUGGCUAAUAUGUGACCUUCCCAAGGUCAAGCGGAGAGUUCGAUUCUCUCUACCCGCACCA
This 75-nucleotide transfer RNA is filed under the name Candidatus Saccharimonadota bacterium. RNAcentral describes it as "Candidatus Saccharibacteria bacterium tRNA-Gly". It matches the Rfam family "tRNA". Rfam says of the family: Transfer RNA (tRNA) molecules are approximately 80 nucleotides in length. Their secondary structure includes four short double-helical elements and three loops (D, anti-codon, and T loops). Lineage: Bacteria; Candidatus Saccharimonadota. The record is from RNAcentral.